This 311-nucleotide long non-coding RNA is filed under the name Hordeum vulgare. RNAcentral describes it as "long non-coding RNA (HVUL_LNC008418)". Lineage: Eukaryota; Viridiplantae; Streptophyta; Magnoliopsida; Poales; Poaceae. The record is from RNAcentral.
GAUUUUUUACAUGUUUAUGUUAGUGUUACAAGAAUGCUUGACAAUUUGCUUGUGAAAUGGUAUAAUAGCGCGCAAUCAGUGAAAAAUAACAGAAUUAAAUGUAACAACUGGAGGUAACACUUCAUUUUCACCUUGUCUUUUUUGCACAGGAUAAAAUGCUAAUGCUUUCUGCCUAAAGGAAUACAGGUAGCAUUUCGAUGUAACCAUCAACACAUAGCAUUUUCUCACACGGGAGAAUGUCCUCCUGGGAACCGAAUCGAAUUUCCGGUUAAUAGGCCAUAUCUUCCCGGACGACGCUGGCGAGGGGCGGG